Molecule: RNA transcript, 3574 nt
Organism: Alligator mississippiensis (American alligator)
Lineage: Eukaryota; Metazoa; Chordata; Crocodylia; Alligatoridae
Gene: SOCS5
Gene name: suppressor of cytokine signaling 5
Exons: 2
Source: RefSeq, a predicted model, not a curated record
CUCUGGGGAAAAAACAAAAAUUGCUCAUUGUUAAUGCAUACUUUUUGCCUCUAAGGGAAAUGGCAUUUACACAGGAUGCAUCUAUGCCUGAUUAUUUUGGUAGAUUAUAUUGAGAUUUAUGAUUUUUUAUGGUUUUGUUGCUGCAGAAAUAUUUCCUAUUUAGAAUGUUUCUUAUGUGCUAAAGCCUUGAACAGAUGCUUUGUUUCCACUUAUUUGUGAAAGGAAAAAUACUUUCUUGCUUUCAAAUGCUAUUGUGAGGCAGGGCCUUAGAGACCAACUGAUUCAGAAAGGUACGAGCUUUCAUGGACAAUAGCCUACUUCAUCAGGUACUAUGAAUUCUGUUAUUAAGAGCAAGAUGUCAAGGCUGCAAGUAGGUACUUGACCAUAAAAUCGGAUGGAAGGGGGCUGACCUAAGUGGAGCUUAGCCCAUGUGGUUUUAAUUGCAGGAUUGGGGCUCAAGUGCUUUUGCUUGCACAUGUAAUUGUCAGGUACCAGAAAUCCAGGGGAGGAGAAAUAAGACAGACCAUUCUUCCUCCUUGCCUCCCAAAAAAGCUAAUAGGAACAUCAAGAUACAAGUAUCUGAAAUGAUGGAAGCAGAAGAGUUCAUCUAGAGAGCCCAUAGAGGCGAAGAGGAGGGGCAGAGGACACAUCUUGAAGGAUUCUAGGAGGUGGGAUAUGGCCGGAGGAGAGCAAGAGAAGGCGAUACUAAAGGAUGUAAUCAGCAAGGUGGGAGGGCAGUGAUAGUAUUUCUUCCAUUCUUACCUCAAUGUCAGCUGCCUCUAACAGCACUGACCUAUGUUUUCCUCCACCUGCACUUCAUCUCCUUGACAACCUGCUUCAGACAAGUUGCGGUAAAACAUAGGAAGUACUCAUUCCAGUUCAACUGAGAGAGUGCUUGUUCAAGCAAGGAAAAUGCAGCUGGUGACCUCACUGAGAGUGGUUUUGGCUAAGUGGAGGAGACAGAAGCCUCAGUGGAGAGUUCAAGAAGUUUAAAAAAAAAAAAGGAAGUCUAAGUAUAGGAAGUAGACAACAUGCUCAUAGGUUUUGGAAGCUGUGUGACAGAUAAGACAACUGUUGGAUUUGAGGGAAGGUAUUCUCAAGAGAAAGUAUACUAGCACAUGUGUGUAUGAGCUAGAUGAACAAUAUCCUGCUGCAUAUAAUAGCAAAUAGGUGGUGUCUUUUCUACCACCUGCAAAAGUCUUCCCUGGGCACCCUUUCCUGCCCUGACUAUGUGGCAUUGCCCAGCAGUGGCAAGGGCCCUUUCACAGGCCCUUGCUUCACUACCAUUCUGUUCCCAUGCCCGAAACAUGGCUUCCGACAUUCUCUACAACCAUUUCCUUGCCACCCAGUGUUAAAAAGCUUUCUAGCAUUAACAGUUACAGCUUGAUAUUCCCCACAUGCUUCAUUCACAGGUACAUUAAUUGGUUUUGGACAUAUUAGAUAGGAAGGAGAGCAGGGGAGCAGGAACAAAUCAGAGGCUAAGACCCUGACAUAGGCUCAGUUUAGUGGCCAGCCCUGGAGGCCAGGAAGAUUUUGGUGCUUGCUUUUAAAGUACCUGUAGGCAUGCUUCUGCCUGAGAGAGCAGAGAUGAACAUGAGGAAGUCUUCCAAGACUACUAAAUACAUUUCAGCGGUGAACUGUGCAAGACAGUAUCCUGCAGGGACCUUGCAUGCAGACAGAGCAGACUUUUCUGUGCCACAUGCAAUCUAACUCCGGAUGUGUCUAGGAAAACCAGCAUCAGUUGUCAUUUGGUGUCUGAGGCACACAUGAAGAGGAAGGCAGCUUUAGAGGCUAAAGGUCAGAGCACGAAGCAAGCGACCAUGUCCUCCCUGUUUAAAAGGACCACAGAAAGCAGCUUGGCAAAGUGCCAUUUCCCUUGUGGAGGCUUUUGUGGUGGUCAAAAACAUUUUGCUGGAGAAAUUUGAUCUCCCAAGUUAAAGGACUACCUGAAAUAAAGCAGUAUUCCAUGUGCCAACAAGCUUCACUAGGACUAGCUCCCUGCCAUGAUUGCUUCAUAUGUACAGUCCAUGAAGGCUGCUUUGGCAGAGUAUCAUUCCUUUUCCAUUGUGGCUAAUAAAGCCACUAACCCUCAGACGACUACAUGCUGCACGUUUUAUUUGUACUGGGGACCUGGACCAACCAGAACUCGCCUGACAGCAUUCCUGUCCGACAAUGCCACAUACAUGUGCAAGGCUUUCUUUGAUGUGCAAGAAAUGCUGUGCAAUACUGUUCAUGUCACCUGCAAUGGACACAUUCUGUCCCUAGUAAGUAGUAUCUGGCACACGCAGUUCCUCAAGGUGGAUAGUCUGGUGUCUUCUUUCGAGAAAGCCUUCAAGCACUGUCCAGGUCAUAAGGGAGUCUGUCGCCAGUCAGUGGGGACUCACAUGCCACUGAUGCUGCCACCAGAGCUUAUGCUCACACAGUGGAAUUCCUGGAUCAAUGCAAUCUGUUACCAUGCCAAGCACAUGCAGCACUACCAGCCGUUUGAGUGAGGUGCUGGAAAUCACACCCAGCACACAGUGCAUACUCAAGCUUCAUGAUCUCUUAGGGUGAGGUGACAUUCAAGUUUGUGGCUGAUAGUGCCAUCCAAUUCAUGGAGCUCCUGACCUGGUUUGCAGGCUGGCAGGCUGUGGUCCACCAAGCACAUAACAAGCUGAUGGAUUUGAUAAGCUGGGCUGAAGAUGGGGCAUUGCAGGAACCGUCAAGCUGCCUUCAUGAAAACCAGCACACAAGGGACUUGCUCCAGGCAACAGCUGUGAAGCUGAACAACUACUACAGAUAUGAUCUGUCACUGCCACCAUGGUUCAGAUGGCCAGCUGCCCCUCUUCCUUAGUGCUGUUUGUAUUUUGGACCCCAAGCAGGUGUCUUUGCUGAGUUGUGACCCUCAGCAACUGAAAGCAAUUCUGGGAUGGAGGAAACAGCAUGACAAUGAACGUGCUGCCUAUGUAAACUUUGUCAAAGACUGCCAGAUGCCUGCGUCCAUGCCUGUGUUCUGGGACUCUCUCUGUAACCGGUUUCCACAUCUUUAUGCCCUUACAAGGUGCUACCUCACCAUUCCAAUGAACUUGGUGGACGGUGAGCAUGCCAUCUCAGUGUAUGGACAAGUGUUCACCCCACAGAGGCAGAGAAUGUCUCCAGUCACUGUGGCUGGGUGCAGCAUGCAGUAUUUAAUAUAUAGACUGAACUAACUGUCUUAAGGUUAGCAGUCAGUUUCAGUAAACUCCAUUUUAUAAUGUCUUUUAAUAAAGUGUAUAUAGUUGGUAUUAGUUACAAUUUAUGUUGUGCAUAGUACAGCUUUAUUUUCAUAAGAUAUUUCAGUUUAGAAUUUGAUUAAUUACUUGGAUGGUAUUAUUUAAUAAAGUGUCUAUAGUUGGUAUUUAUUAAAUAAUGCCAAGUAUAGAUGCUUUAUUAAAUAAUGCCAACUAUAUACAGGCAAAGUGUAUAAAGUUGGUAUUACUUGCAUUUCAUGGUGUCCAUUCCUUUAUUUCAAUACAGUAUUUCAUUUUACAUAUUAAGUGCUUAGACUGCUUAACAAUAAUGCAGCAAUUAAUGGCUUCCCCAAGCUUGACGCCCU